CAGUAAUCAGUGCUUGCAGUUGUAUUUUUUUAUUAUUAAUAUGGACUUUUAAAUUUGAUCCAAUAGGUGGUUGCUGUCAUUGGUGAGGAUGCAUCAUCCGUUGAAGGUCAUGUGAAUGUCCUGCAUAUCCAGUACAGCAAGGUGCGAGAGGAUAUACUAAAGAAGUACCCUUUCUUGAAGACAACCUCAGGGUUUGAUGAAGUUGACCGAAUGCAUCCAUCACCUGUCAGUUUAAGCCAGCGCUUCAAGGACGGCGUUUACCAGUAUUGUGCCAAAGGUGCUUGAGCUUGUUCAAAGAAAAGCUCCAUUAGCCAAAGUCUCCAAA
Oryzias latipes (Japanese medaka) is the source of this 325-nucleotide long non-coding RNA. RefSeq lists it as uncharacterized. NCBI's taxonomy places the organism in Eukaryota, Metazoa, Chordata, Actinopteri, Beloniformes, Adrianichthyidae. The record is from RefSeq and is a predicted model, not a curated record.